GCAUCGGUAGUGUAAUGAAUUAGCACGGCAGACCGGAUAUCUGCAAGUGCAGGUUCGAGUCCCACUCGAGGUU
Molecule: transfer RNA, 73 nt
Filed under: Dictyocaulus viviparus (bovine lungworm)
Lineage: Eukaryota; Metazoa; Nematoda; Chromadorea; Rhabditida; Metastrongylidae
Rfam family: tRNA
About the family: Transfer RNA (tRNA) molecules are approximately 80 nucleotides in length. Their secondary structure includes four short double-helical elements and three loops (D, anti-codon, and T loops).
Source: Rfam by way of RNAcentral